CCUACGGGCGGCAGCAGUGGGGGAUAUUGCACAAUGGGGGAAACCCUGAUGCAGCGACGCCGCGUGAGUGAAGAAGUAUUUCGGUAUUUAAAGCUCUUUCAGUAGGGAAGAAAAUGACAGUACCUGACCAAGAAUCCCCGGCUAAAUACGUUCCAGCAGACGGGGCAAUAUGGAGGCGGCAAGCGUGAUCCGGAUGUACUGGGUGUAAAGGGAGAGUAGACGGUUUGGUAAGUCUGGAGUGAAAGUCGGGGGCCCAAACCCGAGACUGCAUUGGAAACUGUGUAACUGGAGUACAGGAGGGGCAGGCGGAAUUCGUGGUGUAGCGGUGAAAUGCGUAGAUAUCAGGAAGAACACCGAGGGCGAAGGCAGCCUACUGGACUGAAACUGACGUUGAGGCUCGAAAGCGUGGGGAGCAAACAGGAUUAGAUACCCUAGUAGUC
RNAcentral lists this ribosomal RNA (440 nucleotides) under uncultured bacterium. RNAcentral describes it as "partial 16S ribosomal RNA". It matches the Rfam family "Bacterial small subunit ribosomal RNA", at positions 338 to 795 of the family's 1533-position model. The record is from RNAcentral.